This 77-nucleotide transfer RNA is filed under the name Acetobacterium fimetarium. RNAcentral describes it as "tRNA-Arg". It matches the Rfam family "tRNA". Rfam says of the family: Transfer RNA (tRNA) molecules are approximately 80 nucleotides in length. Lineage: Bacteria; Bacillati; Bacillota; Clostridia; Eubacteriales; Eubacteriaceae. RNAcentral also lists the same sequence under 2 other names. The record is from RNAcentral.
GCGCCCGUAGCUCAGCUGGAUAGAGUGUUCGGCUACGAACCGAGAGGCCGUGGGUUCGAAUCCCGCCGGGCGCACCA